This 705-nucleotide long non-coding RNA is filed under the name Salvator merianae (Argentine black and white tegu). RNAcentral's name for it is "lncRNA (ENSSMRG00000004348.1)". Lineage: Eukaryota; Metazoa; Chordata; Lepidosauria; Squamata; Teiidae. The record is from RNAcentral.
UUCGCCCUCAAAUACACACCAGAACAGACACUCUGGAUGUGAAGAGAAUGAAACACUGGAGUCUUUCAGAGCUUUCCUGAAGCAAAAUCUAUGUGAUGUGACAAGAUCACCAACAGACAGUGAAAACUGUAACCUGUGUGCCAUGAAUUGGCACUUGCACAAGGACACAUGCUACUGGAUUUCAACGUCAAUUCAGUCCUGGGAGGAAAGCAACCAAGACUGUUGGAAAAGAAAAGCUCAUCUACUAGUCAUUGAUGAUCUGGAAGAGAAGGUGACAAAAGAAUUCAUCCAGAACAAAAUAAAGACUAUGAAAGUAUGGAUCGGACUUGUCUAUUUAGCAGGGAAAGAUUGGAUCUGGGCAAACAGCAGUUCAUUUAAUAAGACAUUGUAAGUACUUUUUUNAAAAAAAUAUAUCCUACCCUUCACCCAAAGGUCCCAGGAUCGGUCACAACAAUACAAAAUAUAAAAUACACAGAAUAUUUCUAAAACAUAUUUAAAAUAUAACUUUCCCUACUUCCCUGGCAGGACAACACUCAGAAGAAGCUAAGCAUCAAAGGCCUGGGUGAAGUGGUGUGUUUUAACCAGAUGCCCAAAACCAUAUAAUGUAGAAGCCUGGUGAAUGUCCAGAAGGAGACUGUUCCAGAAUCUGGGGGUCACCACAGAAAAGGCCCUCUUGCAUGUCACUGUCCCUUGCCCCUCUGAAAG